CCUACGGGUGGCUGCAGUGGGGAAUAUUGGACAAUGGGCGAAAGCCUGAUCCAGCCAUGCCGCGUGUGUGAAGAAGGCCUUCGGGUUGUAAAGCACUUUCAGUAGGGAGGAAGAGUUGAGUGUUAAUAGUACUCAGCUUUGACGUUACCUACAGAAGAAGCACCGGCUAACUCUGUGCCAGCAGCCGCGGUAAUACAGAGGGUGCAAGCGUUAAUCGGAAUUACUGGGCGUAAAGCGCACGCAGGCGGUUGGUUAAGUCAGAUGUGAAAGCCCCG
Molecule: ribosomal RNA, 275 nt
Filed under: uncultured Rheinheimera sp.
Lineage: Bacteria; Pseudomonadati; Pseudomonadota; Gammaproteobacteria; Chromatiales; Chromatiaceae
Description: partial 16S ribosomal RNA
Rfam family: Bacterial small subunit ribosomal RNA
Source: RNAcentral